GAUGAACGCUGGCGGCGUGCUUAACACAUGCAAGUCGAACGGAAAGGCCCAAGCUUGCUUGGGUACUCGAGUGGCGAACAGGUGAGUAACACGCGGGUGAUCUGCCCCGCACUUCGGGAUAAGCCUGGGAAACUGGGUCUAAUACCGGAUAGGACAGUGGUUUGGAUGCCAUUGUGGAAAGUUUUUUCGGUGUGGGAUGAGCUCGCGGCCUAUCAGCUUGUUGGUGGGGUAAUGGCCUACCAAGGCGUCGACGGGUAGCCGGCCUGAGAGGGUGUACGGCCACAUUGGGACUGAGAUACGGCCCAGACUCCUACGGGAGGCAGCAGUGGGGAAUAUUGCACAAUGGGCGCAAGCCUGAUGCAGCGACGCCGCGUGGGGGAUGACGGCCUUCGGGUUGUAAACUCCUUUCGCUAGGGACGAAGCGUUAUGUGACGGUACCUAGAGAAGAAGCACCGGCUAACUACGUG
RNAcentral lists this ribosomal RNA (467 nucleotides) under uncultured bacterium. Its description in RNAcentral is "partial 16S ribosomal RNA". It matches the Rfam family "Bacterial small subunit ribosomal RNA", at positions 28 to 507 of the family's 1533-position model. The record is from RNAcentral.